Molecule: ribosomal RNA, 249 nt
Filed under: uncultured bacterium
Lineage: Bacteria
Description: partial 16S ribosomal RNA
Rfam family: Bacterial small subunit ribosomal RNA
Source: RNAcentral
GCAAGUCGAGCGAACUACCUUCGGGUAGUUAGUGGCGAACGGGUGAGUAACACGUAAGGAACCAACCCUUUACACGAGGAUAACUACUGGAAACGGUAGCUAAUACUGGAUAGGACAUGACCACAAAAGUGGAUAUGUUUAAAGUGGCUUUCAAGCCACGGUAAGGGCUGGGCUUGCGUCGCAUUAGAUAGUUGGUGAGGGUAACGGCCUACCAAGUCAACGAUGCGUAGCUGAGCUGAGAGGCUGAAC